Bombyx mori (domestic silkworm) is the source of this 419-nucleotide long non-coding RNA. RefSeq lists it as uncharacterized. The record is from RefSeq and is a predicted model, not a curated record. The transcript has 3 exons. Lineage: Eukaryota; Metazoa; Arthropoda; Insecta; Lepidoptera; Bombycidae.
AGAUUACAAAAGCCUUCAAACAUUAAAAAUGAAAAAUAUUUUCAAGACGAAUGUCUGACAGAGAUAUGAUAAAUUUAGGAUUUAUGCUCCGAUUUGAUACUUCUGGACUGCUGCAGAUUGAAGAUCAAUGAAAGAAACUUGUCUCUAACAGAACGGUCCGACUACAGGGAGCCGAAACAGCAAGCUGUAUAAAGAUAAAGCGAGGACGUCAUAAAGCUGAGGGAUUAUCGCCGCAAUGUGGACCCAGGAUAUAAGGUCACGUUUCAUUAGAUACAUUAACGGAAUCUCAGGCAUUGGUGUAGUCAAAUUUAUUACGGUACACCGCCCUUCAACCUAACACUGAUUUCUUGUUUUCAGAAGGAUCACACUAACAAAACUUCCAACCAAUAUAUAUUAUUAAAUAUCAUGAAAUAUUUUAA